CCCCACUUUAAUCUAUACGGAAAAUUAUUUAGAGCUGGAGAAUUAUCAAAAUAUCGUUUUAUGAAUUCUAUAUACCUCUAAAAAUAUUUAAUAGAAUUAUAAAGCGAUAAAAAUGAUUUUAUAUGCAAUACACUAUUUUAUAUAAUUAAAUCAGUAUAAAAUCCAUAACAAAUGCAAAUCGAUAACACAACUCAACAAUCCAAUAGAAAUAAAAUACACCGACUCUCGAGAAUAUAAUCACAUAAUAAUCAUUUAGAAUUUUUCAAAAUAAUAUAUGAAACUCAUUUUUUUUUUAGGAAACAAUUAUAUACCAACAACACAAUAACUCGGAGUUUAAAAUAUAAAAUUUUGAUUUAAUUAAACUGGAAUAAAAUAUUAAAUCUUAUUCCCUUCCUUGAAGAAAAUCACUUUUAUAAUAAUAAAUAGAUUUUAAAAAAAA
Molecule: long non-coding RNA, 439 nt
Filed under: Daucus carota (carrot)
Lineage: Eukaryota; Viridiplantae; Streptophyta; Magnoliopsida; Apiales; Apiaceae
Description: long non-coding RNA (DCAR_LNC007446)
Source: RNAcentral